GUCGAAUUGCUCCAUUUUUGCGGCGGUGAAGGAAUAGGAAAAAGAACAGAAAGAUGAAGAGGGUUUUCGGUGUCAAGAAAGACAAAGAACCGCCUCCUUCGAUUCAAGAUGCCUCCGAAAGGAUUAAUAAAAGGGGCGAAUCAGUUGAUGAUAAGAUAAAGAAGCUUGAUGUUGAACUCAGUAGAUAUAAGGAGCAGAUCAAGAAAACGAGGCCUGGUCCAGCUCAAGAAGCUGUUAAAGCUCGAGCAAUGAGGGUUCUAAAGCAAAAACGAAUGUAU
RNAcentral lists this unclassified non-coding RNA (278 nucleotides) under Hevea brasiliensis (rubber tree). The record is from RNAcentral. Lineage: Eukaryota; Viridiplantae; Streptophyta; Magnoliopsida; Malpighiales; Euphorbiaceae.